Protopterus annectens (West African lungfish) is the source of this 101-nucleotide long non-coding RNA. RefSeq lists it as uncharacterized. NCBI's taxonomy places the organism in Eukaryota, Metazoa, Chordata, Ceratodontiformes, Protopteridae. The transcript is spliced from 3 exons. The record is from RefSeq and is a predicted model, not a curated record.
GAUUUUAAAUUUGCGAAAUCAUGGAUGAUUUUAAUGAUGAGGUGCUGCUGGAAAUGGAAAGGCUGUUGGAUGAUGGCGAGUAUGUUCUACAAGAGGUGUAC